Molecule: ribosomal RNA, 301 nt
Filed under: uncultured bacterium
Lineage: Bacteria
Description: partial 16S ribosomal RNA
Rfam family: Bacterial small subunit ribosomal RNA
Source: RNAcentral
CAGUCGCCGCGGGAAUACGAAGGGGGCUAGCGUUGCUCGGAAUGACUGGGCGUAAAGGGCGCGUAGGCGGCGAUCAAAGUCAGGCGUGAAAUUCCUGGGCUCAACCUGGGGGCUGCGCUUGAUACUUGGUUGCUUGAGUGGGGAAGAGGGUCGUGGAAUUCCCAGUGUAGAGGUGAAAUUCGUAGAUAUUGGGAAGAACACCGGUGGCGAAGGCGGCGACCUGGUCCUUGACUGACGCUGAGGCGCGAAAGCGUGGGGAGCAAACAGGAUUAGAUACCCGGGUAGUCCCUGUCUCUUAUAC